This 436-nucleotide ribosomal RNA is filed under the name uncultured bacterium. RNAcentral's name for it is "bacterial SSU rRNA". It matches the Rfam family "Bacterial small subunit ribosomal RNA", at positions 8 to 491 of the family's 1533-position model. The record is from RNAcentral.
AGAGUUUGAUCCUGGCUCAGAGCGAACGCUGGCGGCAGGCUUAACACAUGCAAGUCGAGCGCCCCGCAAGGGGAGCGGCAGACGGGAGAGUAACACGUGGGAACGUACCCUUCAGUUCGGAACAACCCAGGGAAACUUGGGCUAAUACCGGAUACGUCCGUAAGGAGAAAGAUUUAUCGCUGAAGGAUCGGCCCGCGUUCUGAUUAGCUUGUUGGUGAGGUAACGGCUCACCAAGGCGACGAUCAGUAGCUGGUCUGAGAGGAUGAUCAGCCUCACUGGGACUGAGACACGGCCCAGACUCCUACGGGAGGCAGCAGUGGGGAAUAUUGGACAAUGGGCGCAAGCCUGAUCCAGCCAUGCCGCGUGGAUGAUGAACGCCCUAGGGUUGUAUAGUCCUUUCGGCGGGGAAGAUAAUGACGGUACCCGCAGAAGACGC